This 1302-nucleotide long non-coding RNA is filed under the name Sus scrofa (pig). RNAcentral describes it as "lncRNA (ENSSSCG00025033930.1)". Lineage: Eukaryota; Metazoa; Chordata; Mammalia; Artiodactyla; Suidae. The record is from RNAcentral.
AUGCUCGUUGCCCCUCAGCGAAUGGGAAGGACAUACAUUUUAGCCCCUUGCGGUAAAACAAAGGAUCUUUAUGUGUGUUCAUGUGUUCAACUGCACAGAGGUGGCAGGAGGCCCUGCAGGGCUGAUGAGAAUAUUGAGAGAGCAAAGGCGACUUAUUUAUCUCUUUUAUGGGCAGCGGAACAGACUGUUUGUGCUUUCACCUUUUGGGGACUUGCUUCUGCCUUUAUCCCACUGCGCUGCGUCUUCUUUUUCUAAGUAAAGGAAAAUAUCAGCCAAGUUUACCUUAAGUUCCCCUUGCCUGUCAAGUCAACCAACCAGUUAGACAAGAUUUUAGCGGUUUUCUUUUUUUUGGUUCUUUNGGGGGGGGGGCCUUUUUUUUUUUUUUUGUUUUUUUUUUUUUUUUUUUUUUUUUUUUUUUUUUUUUUUUUUUUACUCUCUAGCUUUAAGAAUCCCACCUGCACCACUCACAUGGUGGAUUCAGGCCGUGAGUUCAACAGCCUCCAUCACUUGCUGGAAAUCAGGACCAAUACAGGAAGGUGUGAAUUCAUCUCUUCCAACCACAGGCCAGGGUUGGUAGCUGCAUUUCUGUGCCAAGGGCUACUUUCUCUCAUGUCUAUUCAUGGAGAUUGUUUUCUGGAAUUUGGAUAGACUCACAACCCAUGGAUCCUUUGCGUUUUCUCAUUUGGCCAUAUUUGCUGACUUUUUGAGGAGAGGCUGGGUUACGGGCUGUUGACACCUUUUCUGUGUGUCUGUGUUGCUGAGACACUUUGUUGAUCAAGUCCCUUUAGUCAAAGCGUGGGCCACCUCCUAUGGGAAAAGGCCACGUCAGGUGUGGACCCUGAAUUUGUCAGUUUAAUGGGUCUGCACAAAGACAGCCUGACCUCAAUAUCUAUGUUACCCGAAUCGUGUCACUCGAACCCCUGCCCUUCGGUACUAAUGCUUUUCCUGCUUCCACUAGCCCUACAGCAUCUCGCGUAAUUGCAAGAGGAAAUGGGUUUUCAUUACUUCACCUAAUAACUGUGGGAUAGAGGACAUCAAGUCCUUCUUUAGCUGCUUUCCCCACACAUUAUCCGCCCAUUUAAACGCAAAGUGUGUGAUAGCUGUGAAAAUUAUGAGUUUAAGGAUUUAUUCAUUCAUCUCAGAAGUAGUUUGCAGGUGUUUGCACUCCCGUGAGUAUUUAUCUAAGCUUUACCCACACAGUUGUCAAAGUGAAAACACUGUGUUAGGUACUGAGAUGGCUUUGGCGGAACUUUCCGAGUUUUCAUCAUUUACGUCUUUGGUAGAUUAAUUUUCUGCGACCUU